This is a long non-coding RNA of Suricata suricatta (meerkat), 1327 nucleotides long. RefSeq lists it as uncharacterized. The transcript is spliced from 6 exons. NCBI's taxonomy places the organism in Eukaryota, Metazoa, Chordata, Mammalia, Carnivora, Herpestidae. The record is from RefSeq and is a predicted model, not a curated record.
CUGGGGCCUCUGGGCCCCUCUCCAACCUGGAGAAACACCAUUGGGGAAGGAAUUCUCAGCAGCGCUUAUUUGAAUUCUCCCUUUGCCGGAGCUGCCGGGCUGCUCCAUCACUGGAAGGAAGUUACUGCCCAACCAAAGGGCCUGGGCUGGCAAGUUGCUUCCCUGCAGGGCCCUGGACAUGGCACUUGCCUCCUCAGCAUAAGGAGGGGGUUAGGAGCCUGCAGAUUCAGGUUCAAAUUUCAGUGCAGACGUUUUCUUGCUCUACUUCCUUGACCAGCUCUUGUGGAGACCAAUGUGUCAGUAAAGCACAAAAUGAAGGUGUAAAUGCUUAAAAGCUGCAGACAGCAUGCCUUGCAGAUUGCUCAACAGCAGUAAUAGGACACUUCUGACCAGAUGGAGUGUCUGUGACUCAAGGGCAGAUAAUCCAAUGCAAUUGCUCACAAAUGUCCAAUGUGCCAGGCAGGGCACCUGGUACUGGGACACCAGUGACAAAGACAUGGUCCCUGCCCUCGGGACAGGAUGCUGUAAUGAGAACACAGCGUGACAGGCCUUGUUGGAACCACAUGAAAAAAGCCUCGAGGGCUCCUACAGAGGCCAGCCGGCAUCGCCCUGGGGGGCUUCCAAGGGGAGGCUGGCAGGAGCAGGCGGCGACACUGGAGUGUGGCUAUGAAGAAUAAGCGGGAGCUGGCCAGGCAGACGCGCUUCUGGUGCUGCUGAAGCACACACGCCAUGAGGGGCUGUGAUGCCUGAGCCAAGGCACAGCAGAGAGGAGGGGGCAGCCUGGUGCAGAGGACGGAGGGCAGACACCGAGGACCUGGUGAGCUGAGACUGCCCAAGGCAGGAGGGCAGCCACCAUUACAGAACAACUGGCAAGCCCGUGAGAGUCUCAUUUCUCCGGCCCUUCCCAUGGCGGCCCUCAUAGCUGUAGCUGAUGCUUAUUGCGCUCUGACAAGGCACAGCGUGCCUCCAACCACUUAAGGGGACUCAGAUGUCAUCUCCUCUGUGCUGCCCUCCUGGAUGGAUCCUUCGACUCAGUGGAAGUGACCCUCCUGUUCACCACACUUUUCUGGCAGAGACUUAUCAGAGCAUCUCUACGGAACAUCUCACUGUGUGUGCCAGGGUCCUGUCAGCUCUCUCCCCAGACCUUAAGCUGUUUGAGAACCAGGGGGCAGGUCUGAUGCUAAGCACAGAGCCAGGCACACACACAGAUGAAUGGAACAGUAAAAGACGUGUAGAAGACCCUGUAGACAGCAGUUAGCCUGUGGGAGGAGACACAUGACCCGUAAACCACAUGAUCUCUAAAAUGCCUGCCUUCCCUGGCCUGAAA